UAGUGGUCCUGGCUUAACCCUGAGGA
Molecule: non-coding RNA, 26 nt
Filed under: Mus musculus (house mouse)
Lineage: Eukaryota; Metazoa; Chordata; Mammalia; Rodentia; Muridae
Source: RNAcentral